AUUGAACGCUGGCGGCAUGCCUUACACAUGCAAGUCGAACGGCAGCACGGGAGCAAUCCUGGUGGCGAGUGGCGAACGGGUGAGUAAUACAUCGGAACGUGCCCAAUCGUGGGGGAUAACGUAGCGAAAGCUACGCUAAUACCGCAUACGAUCUACGGAUAAAAGCGGGGGAUCGCAAGACCUCGCGCGAAUGGAGCGGCCGAUGGCAGAUUAGGUAGUUGGUGAGGUAAAGGCUCACCAAGCCUGCGAUCUGUAGCUGGUCUGAGAGGACGACCAGCCACACUGGGACUGAGACACGGCCCAGACUCCUACGGGAGGCAGCAGUGGGGAAUUUUGGACAAUGGGCGCAAGCCUGAUCCAGCAAUGCCGCGUGCAGGAUGAAGGCCUUCGGGUUGUAAACUGCUUUUGUACGGAACGAAACGGUCCUUUCUAAUACAAGGGGCUAAUGACGGUACCGUAAGAAUAAGCACCGGCUAACUACGUGCCAGCAGCCGCGGUAA
This 500-nucleotide ribosomal RNA is filed under the name uncultured bacterium. RNAcentral describes it as "partial 16S ribosomal RNA". It matches the Rfam family "Bacterial small subunit ribosomal RNA", at positions 30 to 523 of the family's 1533-position model. The record is from RNAcentral.